GGUUAAUAUUCCCGUACUUGGUGUUACUGCGAAGGGGGGACGGAGAAGGCUAUGUUGGCCGGGCGACGGUUGUCCCGGUUUAAGCGUGUAGGUGUGUGUUCCAGGUAAAUCCGGUUCACUUUAACACUGAGGCGUGAUGACGAGGCACUACGGUGCUGAAGCAACAAAUGCCCUGCUUCCAGGAAAAGCCUCUAAGCAUCAGGUAACAUCAAAUCGUACCCCAAACCGACACAGGUGGUCAGGUAGAGAAUACCAAGGCGCUUGAGAGAACUCGGGUGAAGGAACUAGGCAAAAUGGUGCCGUAACUUCGGGAGAAGGCACGCUGACACGUAGGUGAAGUGAUUUACUCAUGGAGCUGAAGUCAGUCGAAGAUACCAGCUGGCUGCAACUGUUUAUUAAAAACACAGCACUGUGCAAACACGAAAGUGGACGUAUACGGUGUGACGCCUGCCCGGUGCCGGAAGGUUAAUUGAUGGGGUCAGCGCAAGCGAAGCUCCUGAUCGAAGCCCCGGUAAACGGCGGCCGUAACUAUAACGGUCCUAAGGUAGCGAAAUUCCUUGUCGGGUAAGUUCCGACCUGCACGAAUGGCGUAAUGAUGGCCAGGCUGUCUCCACCCGAGACUCAGUGAAAUUGAACUCGCUGUGAAGAUGCAGUGUACCCGCGGCAAGACGGAAAGACCCCGUGAACCUUUACUAUAGCUUGACACUGAACAUUGAGCCUUGAUGUGUAGGAUAGGUGGGAGGCUUUGAAGUGUGGACGCCAGUCUGCAUGGAGCCGGCCUUGAAAUACCACCCUUUAAUGUUUGAUGUUCUAACGUGGACCCGUGAUCCGGGUUGCGGACAGUGUCUGGUGGGUAGUUUGACUGGGGCGGUCUCCUCCUAAAGAGUAACGGAGGAGCACGAAGGUUGGCUAAUCCUGGUCGGACAUCAGGAGGUUAGUGCAAUGGCAUAAGCCAGCUUGACUGCGAGCGUGACGGCGCGAGCAGGUGCGAAAGCAGGUCAUAGUGAUCCGGUGGUUCUGAAUGGAAGGGCCAUCGCUCAACGGAUAAAAGGUACUCCGGGGAUAACAGGCUGAUACCGCCCAAGAGUUCAUAUCGACGGCGGUGUUUGGCACCUCGAUGUCGGCUCAUCACAUCCUGGGGCUGAAGUAGGUCCCAAGGGUAUGGCUGUUCGCCAUUUAAAGUGGUACGCGAGCUGGGUUUAGAACGUCGUGAGACAGUUCGGUCCCUAUCUGCCGUGGGCGCUGGAGAACUGAGGGGGGCUGCUCCUAGUACGAGAGGACCGGAGUGGACGCAUCACUGGUGUUCGGGUUGUCAUGCCAAUGGCACUGCCCGGUAGCUAAAUGCGGAAGAGAUAAGUGCUGAAAGCAUCUAAGCACGAAACUUGCCCCGAGAUGAGUUCUCCCUGAGACUUAGAGUCUCCUGAAGGAACGUUGAAGACGACGACGUUGAUAGGCCGGGUGUGUAAGCGCAGCGAUGCGUUGAGCUAACCGGUACUAAUGAACCGUGAGGCUUAACCUU
This 1519-nucleotide ribosomal RNA is filed under the name Salmonella enterica. RNAcentral describes it as "partial 23S ribosomal RNA". It matches the Rfam family "Bacterial large subunit ribosomal RNA", at positions 1428 to 2925 of the family's 2925-position model. Lineage: Bacteria; Pseudomonadati; Pseudomonadota; Gammaproteobacteria; Enterobacterales; Enterobacteriaceae. The record is from RNAcentral.